UACAGAGGAUGCAAGCGUUAUCCGGAAUGAUUGGGCGUAAAGCGUCUGUAGGUGGCUUUUUAAGUCCGCCGUCAAAUCCCAGGGCUCAACUCUGGACAGGCGGUGGAAACUACCAAGCUGGAGUACGGUAGGGGCAGAGGGAAUUUCCGGUGGAGCGGUGAAAUGCGUAGAGAUCAGCAGGAACACCCGUGGCGAAGGCGGCAUUCUGGACCAUAACUGACACUGAGAGACGAAAGCCAGGGGAGCAAACGGG
This 253-nucleotide ribosomal RNA is filed under the name uncultured bacterium. RNAcentral's name for it is "partial 16S ribosomal RNA". It matches the Rfam family "Bacterial small subunit ribosomal RNA", at positions 524 to 776 of the family's 1533-position model. The record is from RNAcentral.